AUUUGUAUAGUAUAAUUUAUUAUUUUUAACUUCCAAUUAAAAGAUCUUUUUUUAAGUACAAAUA
RNAcentral lists this transfer RNA (64 nucleotides) under Cantharis plagiata. Its description in RNAcentral is "tRNA-Gly". Lineage: Eukaryota; Metazoa; Arthropoda; Insecta; Coleoptera; Cantharidae. The record is from RNAcentral.